Molecule: small nucleolar RNA, 126 nt
Filed under: Nakaseomyces glabratus CBS 138
Lineage: Eukaryota; Fungi; Ascomycota; Saccharomycetes; Saccharomycetales; Saccharomycetaceae
Description: Candida glabrata sRNA CAGL0M05878r
Source: RNAcentral
UUACGAUGAUGAAAAUUCGGUUCCUUACAUUCGCAGUUUCCACGGUAGGAGUACGCCUUACGAACCCAUCGUUAGUACUUUUCGGUGACCGCCUCUUUACGAGACCUUCCUAGGAUGUCUGAGUAA